CUUUUCAGUAGAGUGCAUAAACAAACAUUUUGCAUACUUUUAUUUUAAGACUUAAAUAAAGAAAUGACAAGAUUAUUGAAGUAGGAAAAGAAAAGGGAUUGAAUUAUGAUUCUUCCAUCUGCAUAUGUUUGUCAUACAAGAUACCAUUUUUGGAAGUUAAUACAUUUUUAUUUUGGAUGUUACAUCAUUUCUUCAAUGUUUUGGAAUUAUUAACUUUAACGUAAUGUUUAAAAGAUUGAAUAUUUUAUAUCAGCUUGAAUUUUAUUUUUUAAAGCACAACGAGUUCUGCUUAUUUAAACAGGAGAACAAAAUAAAACGCUUAAUUAAAAUUCCCCAAACCAUGAUAAAUAAUAAUAUUCAAUAACUAAAAAGUACAUUGAGGUCCACUACGUCUCAGCUUGAAUGUGAAACAUAAUAAUUCUCUUGGUAUUUGAAUGGUAAAUUAUUGCAGAAUUUUAUGGUAAUAGUUAGCUAGGAUAACAGAUGCUUUGAAACUUUGACAUUUUAUUUUAAUUAAUAUCAUUAGAUAUUUGAAUUAAUGGUGGUUUAAUGAUAUUGAGUAAUGAAAUGGUAUAUACCAAGGUUAGUAAACAGUAUAUUGUGUUAAUACAUCAAGAUCUAUAGGGUACAUUUUUAACCUCAUAAUAAUAUAAUGCUGUUCAGAAAUCAGGAAAAACAUUGCAAUGCAAUGCUAUGACUUUUGUAAAAAAAACUUUUGGCUUUCAAAUUUGUCUUCUGUGCAGAAAAUAAAACUUUUUUUAACACAAAAGAGUAUUUGAUUAUUGACUGUUGUCAAAAAUUUAGCUGAAAUUCAUUAAAAUGAAAUGAUGUAGUAGAAUAUUUAAUAUAAGUAAAAAAAUGAUAUUAUUAAAUUUGUAUAGAUAUAUAAAUUGAUAAACUUUCAGUUUAAUUCACACCCCCACAAAAAGUUGUGAAAGUGACUUUCACAAUACAAUGAAGAAAGAGGUCAAAUGAUAUUGCAUAUCAUUUCAUAAAUUGAUUUCUAAAAUUUAGAUUUUUUAUUGUUAAACUUUUAUUUAGAAUAGACUUAAUGUAUUAAGUUAUAUAUGUACAGCAAAUCUGAAGAGAAACUCACAGCCAUAAUACAUAUGAAGAUGAUUUUAAAUUGUCAUGGUUUUAUAUCAAAGAGAAUUAAAGAUAAUUCAAGGAAUCAAUUGCAAGGAAUAUAAUUGAAGAUGAAUUUUACCAGUAAUAUAUGAUGAUUGACAGACUGAGAACGUCUUUAAAUUUUUAUUAAAUUUGUAUAUAGAAAAGAAAAAUACAUCCAGUGGUCUCCUUUGUUUAUUAACUUAUUUAUUUUUUAAUUGUGAAAUUUAUUCAAUUAUCAUGAAUUCAUGAUUAUAGAGAUCAUAUGCAGUGAAAAGAGAUUAAUAGUGUGGGUCAAAGGACAUACAUAUUUUGUUAAAAACAAUGAAUGGAAUGGCUGUUACAGAUAAAAUAUUGUACUUCAAGGGAGGUUUUUGUAACCCAUUCCUUAAUAAUAUGGCUAUUAGUUGCAAAGAAUAUUGUUUUACCUGUGGAAAGGAAAUCUGUUCUAUAGCAAGAAAGUUUCCAGAGAAGAAGGCUAUUUUUUUGAAAGAAGUCAGCAAUCAUAAAUUUUCUUUUAAAACAGCAAAAAUUGAUAGAAUAGAGGCUGGGAGACCAUUUGUAAUAAUAUAAUCAGAAUAAUUUCUAAUAAUGAGCUAUAACUCAUAUAAUGAGUAUAAUUAUAAAAUUGUAUACCGGAUCAACAAGCUGAUAUUUAUGUUUAUUUACAAUAGGAAUUACAGCCCACAUGAUUCUUACAUAGUAUACAACCAGUUAGGUUUACUUAUUAGUAUUAUCGAUUUUGUAUCUAUUGUCAUAUAUAAAAAGUUAGAGCAAAAACAAGAAUAUUGUGGGUUUUAUACAUUUUCAUUUCCACAAGUUCAUGUUUUAACCAUCAAUUUGUCCUGUUAUGACAUUAAAAAUGUAACAGUCACAAAAAUGGAUUUUUUUUUGUUAGUAUGGAUAUAAGCCAAGUGAUAUAAGUAUUUAGGGUAGUAUACAAUGACAUAUGUUUGUAUCUGAAUGUUUGCUUGACAUAAUCAGUCUAUAGACUUAUAUUUUGGUUUAGAUUUUUUAAGGAAAAUGCAACUUAUACUAUUCUACUUAAUCUUUUGAAGAAUUGAAAUUUAUUGUGUGAAAACCUUUUCUCAUGCUUCUUUGCUUGAAAUAGAAUUUUGUAUUGCUUGUAUUGUAAAUAGCUAAUGAAAGAUUGGUCUAUUAGUUAUUUAUAGACAGUAAUUUUUAAUCAAGAGUUAUAAUGUGAAACUAUUGCUUCCAAUUAAAAUAAAAAGCAAUUAUAGAUUAAAAUCUACAUCUCAUGUAAAAAAAAACCCAGAUUUUUAAACUUGAUCUAAAUGUGAAUAUAUUUAAUAAUGAAAGCCUCUCUUGUUUUGGCAUGAACUUAAUUAUACUUUGAAACAAACUUUGCAUUGAGAAGUCAAAAUAAAUUGUUUCUUAAUUUGCACUAUAUUGAUUAAAUGACUUGGAAUUAUCUUGGAUCAGAUCUGAAAUUGACAAGUAUAUCAUUUCAAAAUCAGAAAUUAACACUCAACAGGUAAACAAUGACAAAUUAUUCAAGAGAAUAAAGAAUUAUUUGUGCAGUAAAAGUAACAAUAUAGGCCAAGUGGUGAAGGUAGUCGUAAUUGAUCAAAUUAUGCAUUGAGGAAUUGUAAAGAGUAGAAAAUCAAUGGUGAAAAACAUCAAACUUGUUAACGAGGAAAUUUACGAGUAUUGAUUUCUGGGUUGUUUUGAUUGAACAUCUUGUGUAGGUAUCACUGCUUCUACUGAUAACAAGCUUUGUUUCUUAAUUAUUCAAUAGUUGGAGGAAAAAAUAUGGAUCAAAUCGUUAUUGUUAUGAUUGAACAAUAAAGCCAAAAAUUGUUUUUUUUUCUUGACUAAUAAAAGAGCUCAGUUAUCCAAAUGGAUAUCAUGAAAAUUAAAUUUAAAUUAUAAUGGCCUUUCCUUAUGAAGGAACAGAUUUUGAUUUAAUAUGAUUUCUCACAGACAUUCAAUAAUUUAAUUUUAUGAAGACUAUGAAAAAGAACGGUCAACUCCUCUUCCUUCUCUACAGUCAGUGCACAGGGAUCAAAUGGUUUGUUAUUUAUGAAAAUGUCAUAAUAAUCCAUUAAUCUACAUCAAGGAAGUUUUGCUCUUGGAAUUGUUUGAAUGUGACAGGAAUCUUAACUGAUUUUGCCUAGAGCUCUUCAAAAAUUUUGUUAUUGGAGUUUAGGAAUUUAAGCAUGAUUUUGUAGAACUGAAGCCUUUCAAAGUCUUGAAGUGAAAUUUCUGUUUCCUUUAAUUGGUUAAGAUACAUUGCUUCUUCUAUUAGCAUAUCCAGCAUUCUGUUGAUAUAUGAUCUUACUAUAACUUAUAAGGGUUCGAAUAUUCAUGUUCAAAAUAUAAAAAUUCUUACUUCAUUGAAUUCACUUUAUUUUAAACUUGCACAGUUCUAUAUUUGUUCUACCUUGAAUUAGAAUAGACUGUUGAUAACCUGUAAAAAACAAAAGUUUGUUCUCAAUCCCUGCACUUUUUGUACCAUCAUUAUUAUGGCCACUAAAAAAACAUUUUCCUUUGUUCAUUUUAAGGGCAGGCUGGUCAAUAGAUACAUAGAUUUGUAAGUCCAUGUAAGUUGAUUGACAAAAGCUUAGCUUGUUCCAUCACAACAAUAAGAAGCCCUGACAAGUACCACUCACCAAAAUAGAAAAGAAUAAAAGACUUUAUAAAUUUGAAUAAGUGUCUGUUAUUUUAUUUACGGAAAACUGACCAAUCAAUAUGGUUCUGAAAGUGACGUAAAGUCAUAUGUAAUUGUCAGCUAAUUAUAUUGUCUGUGAAGAAUUUGGUCACGAUUUGUUGUUUUGUUUCUUAUCAUAGGAAUUAACUGUUGGCAUAUAUAUGUCAUUACUUCGAUAAUGGUUACCUUCCAAAUUAACUGUGCAGAAUUAUUAAUACAAAUUAUAUUAGUCACCUAUUAUGGUAGAAACAAAAUUAGUUCUUGAUAAAACCAUGACUAUUCAACAGCUCCUUGUAAUUAACUUUUUCCAAACAAAGAAAUUGCUUAUUGAUUUUUAGAAAUCAUCGACAUAUGGCUUUUCAUAUUUUGUUGUCAAAGAGAGACAACUCUAAUUAAAUAUCAUGUUUAAUAUUUGACUUUGUAAUAUAUGAUUAAGUAGAAAUGUUUUAGUAUAUUCUUGUUACAUAAGUGAUAUGUAUAGCACAAAAACAUUAACUGAUGUUAUGCAUGUGUUUGUAUAACUUGAGCCUUUCUUUAGAUCCUUUAAACGAGAGUAUAUGUUUACCUGUUUUAAUGUAUCGUUCUUCUUUUAUCAACUUUUUAAUAUUCAUGAUGUCUUUUAAUUCAAAAGCAAAGGUUGCUUUUAGUAUUUGCUACUGCAAAAGUUGUUUUUUUGGGUUUUUUUUCUGUAUAAUAAAUAAAAUCACGUGUUAGAAUUUGUAAAUUGCCAGUAAUUGGAAGCUCUAGGAAAGCAUACGAAAAAUAAUCAUUUAAUAUUGCAUCCGUAAUUUCCAAAAAUAAAGGGGGAUGAAAACCGAUUAAUUUGUUUCAGUUUUUAAUAUUUUCGUUUGCUUUUAGCUGUGGUGAUCAUGAAUACCGGUGAAACAUAGAUAAAUUAUUCCAUACCAUAUAUAAUGGAAGGCUGGAUUGCUUACUUUUGUGCAACUUUUGUUAAAAAAAAAAAUGAAACUUUUGAAAUUUAUUGAUGAAUCUUUGAUCUUUAGAUAUAUUAGAUUAAGAAAAAUUCUAAUUCUUUUGAAAUGUUGAACAGAUCACAAAAUUGUAAGGCAUUUGUUACAUGUACAAAAUAGCAUGAAGGCCUUCCUUUUAUUUAUUUGUUAUUUGAUAGCACCCACUCAUUAUAAAGUAGUAAGUACUACAACCUUAAUACAGCCAGUUUAGUUGUUCCUUGUUUUGUAUUUUUAGUCAUGUGAUCAUGUUAUGUGAUCAGUGCUGUAAUUAGUCAUGUGAUCAGUGCUGUUAUUAGUCAUGUGAUCAGCACUGUGCCAUUUGUGUUUCAUAUUAUAGAAGAUGGCACCAAUUUUCCUGUUUCUUUGAGAAAUAUUUGUUUCACAUGGUACCAUUUUUUUAAUGGUUUCCAGAGAAAAUUUAGUUGUUAUCAGAUAAAAAAGGUUUUAUAAGAUACUAGUUUUCUCAUCUUGAAAAGAGUGAGAAUUUUGAAAUGAUAUAAAAAUCAUCCUGGAUCUAUCAUGUUUAUUUAUUUUGUAUAACUUUAUAUUGAGAAGUUUUUAUGAAAUUUUGUUAUGUUUAUUCAAAGCUGGAAAACUGGUGCCAAAACAAACAUAGCACAGUAUGAUUUAAUCUUGUGUAAUAUAAAAAUUUGGAGAAAAAAUACACAAUGAGAUAAGAUGUCACAUUAUGUGUUUUAGUUAUUAACACAUUGUGUUGUUACAUUGUUCUCAAGUGUAAAUAAAGUUACAUGUUACAAAAGUGUGUGUGUUUAUUUUGUUUUUCUCUGUUUAUACUCCCAAAAGUAGUCUUCUUUUGGUCAAACUAUAAUUCUGAGAUCAAUAGUAGUAAAGUAAAUUUUUGGAAUGUUCCAAAGAGGUACAAACAAUCACAUAUUGCAAAAUUCUCAGUUCUUUAUUCAUGAGAUUUGUGUCACUUUACUUGCCCC
Molecule: long non-coding RNA, 5696 nt
Filed under: Mytilus galloprovincialis (Mediterranean mussel)
Lineage: Eukaryota; Metazoa; Mollusca; Bivalvia; Mytilida; Mytilidae
Source: RNAcentral